CAGCCUCUGCCACAACACACUCUGCAUCAACUGAGACUCAAACAUCCACAACUCCUUCAACAUCUCCUGCCAGUACAAGCUCUUCUAAAACUGAGACUCAAACAGCACCUAUAGCACUGCCUUCUAGUACAAGCUCUUCUACAACUGAGACUCAAACAGCAGAACCUACAA
This is a long non-coding RNA of Danio aesculapii, 171 nucleotides long. RefSeq lists it as uncharacterized. The record is from RefSeq and is a predicted model, not a curated record. The transcript has 3 exons. Lineage: Eukaryota; Metazoa; Chordata; Actinopteri; Cypriniformes; Danionidae.